AUCGGGGUAAAGACGUAACAAGGUAGCCGUAUCGGAAGGUGCGGCUGGAUCACCUCCUUU
This 60-nucleotide ribosomal RNA is filed under the name Paenibacillus artemisiicola. RNAcentral's name for it is "partial 16S ribosomal RNA". It matches the Rfam family "Bacterial small subunit ribosomal RNA", at positions 1474 to 1533 of the family's 1533-position model. The record is from RNAcentral. Lineage: Bacteria; Bacillati; Bacillota; Bacilli; Caryophanales; Paenibacillaceae.